RNAcentral lists this ribosomal RNA (411 nucleotides) under uncultured bacterium. Its description in RNAcentral is "bacterial SSU rRNA". It matches the Rfam family "Bacterial small subunit ribosomal RNA", at positions 357 to 766 of the family's 1533-position model. The record is from RNAcentral.
AGGAAUAUUGGUCAAUGGACGCAAGUCUGAACCAGCCAUGCCGCGUGAAGGAUGAAGGUCAUCUGGAUUGUAAACUUCUUUUAUCUGGGACGAAAACGUGAUUUUUAUCUCAAUUGACGGUACCAGAGGAAUAAGCACCGGCUAACUCCGUGCCAGCAGCCGCGGUAGUACGGAGGGUGCGAGCGUUAUCCGGCUUUCCUGGGUUUAAAGGGAUCGUAGGUGGGCUUAUAAGUCAGUGGUGAAAUCUCUGAGCUUAACUUGGAAACGGCCUUUGAUACUAUAGGUCUUGAAUUAGCUGGAGGUAAGUGGAAUAUCUCAUGUAGCGGGGAAAUGCUUAGAUAUGACAUAGAACACCAAUUGCGAAGGCAGCUUACUAGAUAUAAAAUGACGCUGAGGCACUAAAGCGUGGGG